Molecule: ribosomal RNA, 253 nt
Filed under: uncultured bacterium
Lineage: Bacteria
Description: partial 16S ribosomal RNA
Rfam family: Bacterial small subunit ribosomal RNA
Source: RNAcentral
GACAGAAGGGGCAAGCGUUGCUCGGAAUUACUGGGCGUAAAGGGCGCGUAGGCGGAAUGGCAAGUCGGUCGUGAAAUCCUUCGGCUCAACCGAAGAACGUCGAUCGAAACUGCCGUUCUUGAGGAUUGCAGAGGAGACUGGAAUUCCCGGUGUAGCGGUGAAAUGUGUAGAGAUCGGGAGGAACACCGGUGGCGAAGGCGGGUCUCUGGGCAAUUCCUGACGCUGAGGCACGAAGGUCAGGGGAGCAAACGGG